Molecule: RNA transcript, 846 nt
Organism: Syzygium oleosum
Lineage: Eukaryota; Viridiplantae; Streptophyta; Magnoliopsida; Myrtales; Myrtaceae
Exons: 4
Source: RefSeq, a predicted model, not a curated record
GAAAUUUUGGCCAAUUGCUUUUUGAUCAAACCCUUGAAAGCCCGAAGAACUGGAUCAAGAAAAGCCCAUCGCUCGUCUUUGUUCAGUUCAAGCCGUGCAAAGUGACAUUACGGUUUAACGCUCAGAUCGAUCGGGCAAAUGGAGGGCGAGCCUCCGGCGAAGGAGGACGUGUCGCCGGCGACGGCAGUUUUGCUCGGCGCUCUCGCUCCGGGAGUCAACGGUCCGACAUGGAACGCGCUGAAGAUGGCGUUCGUGAUGCUGGGUGGGUCCCUCGCCGUCAUGAUGGGGUUGGCCUUCUCUUCGAGCGAUUCUUGGCUGACCCUCCAUGUCUCGUUCCUCGUGAUGAUCACGCUCGCGCUGUUCUUGCUUCUUAGCUGGUUUCUCGCGCAAACCGGAUUGGUUUCAGUUGAAACUCAAAUGCAGGAUCUCAAUUUAGUGCCGAACAAUCAGACUGAGAAAGAAAAAGUUCGCUGAUGUAGUCCAUGGUCUCGUCAAGUGUAAAUGCCAGGCCUGACAAUUUUCGAGGUUACUCAUGCAUGACUUAGGAGAAGCGAGACAAGAAAAUUGUUUGAAGAACUGCAACGCCAACAAUAGGACACCCCAGAGAUCCUGAAGUAGGACAAAAUCUGUGGUAGAAGCAUCAUGAAAUUCACGACGGGGCAUCACGGAUGGCUUGUUAUCAUCUCAAGCCAUUAGCAGAUGAAUUUCCACCUGAAUAUUGCAGUCAGUCUUUUUAUCUAUACUUUUCAAGUGUUCUCAGGCUUCAAAAGUGACGAUAUCACAAACACCUGGGAGAUGGUGUUAUAAUGGAGUUGUAAUAUCACUAUUGCUAGGCAUUACUAUUCA